UCAACUAAUUCAAAGCACAUACGAAACAUACCUCAAUGUUGGGAUGUUUCAAGCGUAUUAACUGAAAUUUUUACAGCAAGAUCAUUCAUUCCCAAAUCACGUACCUUCGGAAUUUAACCGGAUAUAGCUACUCGUUCAAAUGCCUUCGGGACAUAGCCCAGUUAUAGUAACUCGCACAAAUGCCUUCGGGACUUAACCCGGAUUUAGUAACUCGCACAAAUGCCUUCGGGACUUAACCCGGAUUUAGUAACUCGCACAAAUGCCUUCGGAUCUUAGUCCGGAUAUGGUCACUUAGCACAAAGCCUUCGGGACUUAGCCCGGACAUCAUUCAAAUAACCAUGCACAUUUAACAAUAAAUCAUGGCACAUUCGUAUUUCGUUUUCGUUAGCAAAACUCAAACACAAGA
This 406-nucleotide long non-coding RNA is filed under the name Gossypium barbadense (sea-island cotton). RNAcentral describes it as "long non-coding RNA (GBAR_LNC009097)". The record is from RNAcentral. Lineage: Eukaryota; Viridiplantae; Streptophyta; Magnoliopsida; Malvales; Malvaceae.